AUCCCUCAAAAAAAAAGUUAAGAUGCAACACGUCUAAACACCACUUUUUUUAAGUGAAGAGGGGUCUAGAACGACCCCGAGCUUUCAUUUAACACAAAGCGGUGGAAGUACAAAGCUCCUACAAGGACUCCAAAGUAAAAUACAUAACAAACAAGCCCCUGACUUUUACAUGGAGGACCCCAAACUGAAAGCAAGAAAUGCGAUCGGGUCCCUAGCAGCCACCGGCCGGAUUGAACCUCAUCGCCGCCGGGGACGAACCACUUGGUGUGAAGAAAUCGCCAUGGCCGCAACACCUGCACACCAUAGCCUCUGAACAACAGCUGGAUCUGCCUCCCAUAAGGCACGCACGCCGGGAGGAAUGGAGUCGGCCGCCUUUCGGCCAGAAGAAGCAGCGAACCAGCGGAGACCGGCAGCCAAUCGAGGGCGCCGUAGCUCCACCAUGGAAUCAACUGCUGAUGUGCACGAACUCGAUCUGCCGGCUUCAAGUAUCUGCAACGCCCCUGCUCCUCAUCCACCAGCAAAGUGACUUGAAAGAGCAAGCAGCAGCAGAGGGCCAUCCUCCAGAUCAGGGAAGACCUCAGGCUUAUUGGGGAAAGAGAGCUCGCAUCAGAUCCACUCCCAUCUGCCUCCAUCCACCAUGGAUGGCCGGCCUGGGAGGCUACUGGUGACCACCAAACACUGCCUGGAUGUGUUGAUGGGGAGCUCAAGUACGGCAUAACGCCAGACGCCACGGAGACAAGACACAACCUACACCUAAACCUAAGACUACUAUGAACAGAGGGAGACCGACCACCUAACCCAUCCUCGCGCCGGACGGCAGAGCCGCCGGAGAGAGAGAGGGAGAGGGGCGGUGACGGAGUGCACGAGGAGACUCUCAACAGGAGCAGGGAAGAGAAGGGUGACGAAUCUCCCCUCUUUCAAUCCAAAAAUUGCUUCUCCUUCCUCCCGCCGAGUCUCUUGCUCGCGCCCACCCCCUCCCUCCUAGCGUUGAUGGAAGAAACAUGGCCAGCCCUCGGCCUGGCGGCCGGCGACGCGGCCUUCCCGCCCCCGCCUCCCCGUGGCGUGGGGCGAGGCCGCGACGGCGCGACGAGGCCGCUCGAACCGUGUGCACCAGCAAGAAGGCCAGCUCGAACAAACAGGAUGCCCUGCAAAACGAUUUCGAACGAGGGGAGAUGCUAAUACUCUUAGAAUGGUCAUUUGAGCCAACUGUUUCAAUCGAGAGAACAAUUUUCUACUGAAUUCAGGAGUGCUCUGCAAUGCCAUAUGCCAUUGCUCAGAGGAGAUACUGUGAGAAAGGUACUGGAGAUGAACAAGCAAGGAGCCCUGUACUUGUUCUCACAGGCAGCAGCACGAGAAGGGGACCUCCGGUGGCAGCACACGAGCAGGGGAGCUCCGAACGGCAGCACGAGCAGGGGAGGAGCAGCAAGUUGUAGAGGAGCAGCAGAGGGAGAUCGAGCUUGAGGUCCAGGCCUGCGCGAGUACUUGAGUUCCAGGCCCGCGGGAGAGCUUGAGGUCCAGGACGAUCUUGAGGGGAUAUCGGCGGCGCAGGCCUGGCGGUGGCGGCGGAGCAGGUCCUGGGUGGCGGAGGAGCAAGCAAUUGGGCGGCCUGGGCGGCGCCGGAGCAAGCAAUUGGGCGGUGGGGCUCCUGGGCAACGACGGGCACUGGCGGUGGCGGCGGCGCAGGUCCUGGGUGGCGGAGGAGCAAGCAAUUGGGCGGCCUGGGCGGAGGAGGAUUAAGCCCUAGACGGCGCCGGAGCAAGCAAUUGGGCGGCGCGGCUCCUGGUCGACGACGGGCCCUGGCGACGUGCGCGGGGGAUGGGCGGAGGAAGAAGGCACACGGCGACCUUUUUGUAACAGAUUUGAAGCUGCGGGGAUGUUUUUGCAAAAUUUGCAGUACACUAUGCUGGAGACAACUUUUCUCGGACGGAAGGAGUACAUGUGAGUCUCACCUCUUUAGCCAAGAUUUCAUUGUGAUUUAUCAUGUUAUGCCAUAUAUC
Long non-coding RNA from Triticum aestivum (bread wheat), 1997 nucleotides. RefSeq lists it as uncharacterized. Lineage: Eukaryota; Viridiplantae; Streptophyta; Magnoliopsida; Poales; Poaceae. The transcript is spliced from 3 exons. The record is from RefSeq and is a predicted model, not a curated record.